This 513-nucleotide ribosomal RNA is filed under the name Euprymna berryi. RNAcentral describes it as "partial 16S ribosomal RNA". It matches the Rfam family "Bacterial large subunit ribosomal RNA", at positions 1816 to 2597 of the family's 2925-position model. Lineage: Eukaryota; Metazoa; Mollusca; Cephalopoda; Sepiida; Sepiolidae. The record is from RNAcentral.
GUCUCUUUGUGUGUUAUAAAUAAAGAGUUGGGCCUGCUCAGUGAUGGAAUUUAACAGCUGCGGUAUUUUAACUGUACUAAGGUAGCAUAAUAGUUUGCCUUAUAAUUUGAGGCUGGAAUGAAUGGUUUGACGAAGGUUAAUCUGUCUCUAUCUUAUUUAAUAGAAAUUAAUUUUUAAAGUGAAAAAGCUUAGAUUUUUUAAAGGGACGAGAAGACCCUAUUGAGCUUGUAAUUUUAUUUUUAUUAUAUUAUAUAAUAUAACAUGAAUUUUAAUUGGGGUGAUUAAGGAAUAAGGUAAUAGGUAAUGCAGUAACUUCCUUAAAAUUAAUGUAUGUAUAUAUUUAUGAAUUAACCAACUAUUUUGUUGCUUAUAAUAUAGUUACCAUAGGGAUAACAGCGUAAUUUAUUUAGAGAGUUCUUAUUAAAAAAUGAGAUUGCGACCUCGAUGUUGGAUUAAAGUAACCUUAGGGUGUAGAAGCUCUAGUUGGUAAAUCUGUUCGAUUUUUAAAACUUU